GAGUUUGAUCCUGGCUCAGAUUGAACGCUGGCGGCAUGCCUUACACAUGCAAGUCGAACGGCAGCAUGAUCUAGCUUGCUAGAUUGGUGGCGAGUGGCGAACGGGUGAGUAAUACAUCGGGAACGUGCCCUGUAGUGGGGGAUAACUAGUCGAAAGAUUAGCUAAUACCGCAUACGACCUGAGGGUGAAAGUGGGGGACCGCAAGGCCUCAUGCUAUAGGAGCGGCCGAUGUCUGAUUAGCUAGUUGGUGGGGUAAAGGCCCACCAAGGCGACGAUCAGUAGCUGGUCUGAGAGGACGAUCAGCCACACUGGGACUGAGACACGGCCCAGACUCCUACGGGAGGCAGCAGUGGGGAAUUUUGGACAAUGGGCGAAAGCCUGAUCCAGCAAUGCCGCGUGUGUGAAGAAGGCCUCGGUUGUAAG
This 423-nucleotide ribosomal RNA is filed under the name uncultured microorganism. RNAcentral describes it as "bacterial SSU rRNA". It matches the Rfam family "Bacterial small subunit ribosomal RNA", at positions 9 to 429 of the family's 1533-position model. The record is from RNAcentral.